Molecule: ribosomal RNA, 249 nt
Filed under: uncultured bacterium
Lineage: Bacteria
Description: partial 16S ribosomal RNA
Rfam family: Bacterial small subunit ribosomal RNA
Source: RNAcentral
UUUGAUGGCGACCGGCGCACGGGUGAGUAACACGUAUCCAACCUGCCGAUGACUCGGGGAUAGCCUUUCGAAAGAAAGAUUAAUACCCGAUGGUAUAGUUCUUCCGCAUGGUAGAACUAUUAAAGAAUUUCGGUCAUCGAUGGGGAUGCGUUCCAUUAGGUUGUUGGCGGGGUAACGGCCCACCAAGCCUUCGAUGGAUAGGGGUUCUGAGAGGAAGGUCCCCCACAUUGGAACUGAGACACGGUCCAA